This 373-nucleotide ribosomal RNA is filed under the name uncultured organism. Its description in RNAcentral is "partial 16S ribosomal RNA". It matches the Rfam family "Bacterial small subunit ribosomal RNA", at positions 527 to 896 of the family's 1533-position model. The record is from RNAcentral.
GUAGGUGGCAAGCGUUGUCCGGAAUUAUUGGGCGUAAAGCGCGCGCAGGUGGGUUCUUUAAGUCUGAUGUGAAAGCCCCCGGGCUCAACCGGGGAGGGUCAUUGGAAACUGGGGAACUUGAGUGCAGGAGAGGAAAGUGGAAUUCCACGUGUAGCGGUGAAAUGCGUAGAUAUGUGGAGGAACACCAGUGGCGAAGGCGGCUUUCUGGCCUGUAACUGACACUGAGGCGCGAAAGCGUGGGGAGCAAACAGGAUUAGAUACCCUGGUAGUCCACGCCGUAAACGAUGAGUGCUAAGUGUUGGGGGGUUUCCGCCCCUCAGUGCUGCAGCUAACGCAUUAAGCACUCCGCCUGGGGAGUACGGUCGCAAGACUG